GGCAUGGGGGGACCCUGAUCCAGCCAUGCCGCGUGUGUGAAGAAGGCCUUAUGGUUGUAAAGCACUUUAAGCGAGGAGGAGGCUACUGAGACUAAUACUCUUGGAUAGUGGACGUUACUCGCAGAAUAAGCACCGGCUAACUCUGUGCCAGCAGCCGCGGUAAUACAGAGGGUGCGAGCGUUAAUCGGAUUUACUGGGCGUAAAGCGUGCGUAGGCGGCUUUUUAAGUCGGAUGUGAAAUCCCCGAGCUUAACUUGGGAAUUGCAUUCGAUACUGGGRAGCUAGAGUAUGGGAGAGGAUGGUAGAAUUCCAGGUGUAGUGGUGAAAUGCGUAGAGAUCUGGAGGAAUACCGAUGGCGAAGGCAGCCAUCUGGCCUAAUACUGACGCUGAGGUACGAAAGCAUGGGGAGCAAACAGGAUUAGAUACCCUGGUAGUCCAUGCCGUAAACGAUGUCUACUAGCCGUUGGGGCCUUUGAGGCUUUAGUGGCGCAGCUAACGCGAUAAGUAGACCGCCUGGGGAGUACGGUCGCAAGACUAAAACUCAAAUGAAUUGACGGGGAAUCGAAUUCCCGCGGCCGCCAUGGCGGCCGGGAGCAUGCGACGUCGGGCCCAAUUCGCCCUAWGGGNAGUCGUAUUA
This 636-nucleotide ribosomal RNA is filed under the name Acinetobacter junii. Its description in RNAcentral is "bacterial SSU rRNA". It matches the Rfam family "Bacterial small subunit ribosomal RNA", at positions 367 to 1287 of the family's 1533-position model. Lineage: Bacteria; Pseudomonadati; Pseudomonadota; Gammaproteobacteria; Moraxellales; Moraxellaceae. The record is from RNAcentral.